GUAGCUCAGCUUGGCAGAGCGCCAGCUUUGGGAGCUGGAUGUCGCAGGUUCGAAUCCUGUC
RNAcentral lists this transfer RNA (61 nucleotides) under Verrucomicrobiales bacterium. RNAcentral's name for it is "tRNA-Pro". It matches the Rfam family "tRNA", at positions 7 to 64 of the family's 71-position model. Rfam says of the family: Transfer RNA (tRNA) molecules are approximately 80 nucleotides in length. Their secondary structure includes four short double-helical elements and three loops (D, anti-codon, and T loops). Further hydrogen bonds mediate the characteristic L-shaped molecular structure. tRNAs have two regions of fundamental functional importance: the anti-codon, which is responsible for specific mRNA codon recognition, and the 3' end, to which the tRNAs corresponding amino acid is attached (by aminoacyl-tRNA synthetases). tRNAs cope with the degeneracy of the genetic code in two manners: having more than one tRNA (with a specific anti-codon) for a particular amino acid; and 'wobble' base-pairing, i.e. permitting non-standard base-pairing at the 3rd anti-codon position. The record is from RNAcentral. Lineage: Bacteria; Pseudomonadati; Verrucomicrobiota; Verrucomicrobiia; Verrucomicrobiales.